Molecule: long non-coding RNA, 466 nt
Filed under: Androctonus crassicauda
Lineage: Eukaryota; Metazoa; Arthropoda; Arachnida; Scorpiones; Buthidae
Source: RNAcentral
AAUAAGUUUUUAUUCUUCAGUAGAGAAUGAGAAAUAAAAACAAACUUUUUUAUUCAUAAAUUAUUUUUGGUAUGUAUUAAGGAACAAUGUUAUAGAAGGUUAUAUUACAGAUUUUGUCAAGUGAGCAGAAAAUACAGAAAUUUUAAAUGCAGAAAAUGUUCAGAAAGUGAAGUUGAUAUUGUUAAAAAGAAAAAAUGUUCUCAUUUUAACUGAACAAUAGUAAGGGAGAUAUAAUUAUUAAAUCAGGCCUGGCCUAUCCAAAUGGUUUCACGGGCCACUUUGAUGAAGCGUAACAUUACAGCGGGCCACACUUUAGGUAAACAUGCUUUUAAAAAAUGUAAUGCAAAUACAAAAUUAAUAAAACUUUAUUGUUAUACUAUGAUUCAAUAUACAGGUAGCCCUCCAUUUACGCCGAUUCACAAUAACGCCGCUACACAACUCGCUGUUUUACCGUGUAAUUCCCCGG